This 522-nucleotide ribosomal RNA is filed under the name uncultured bacterium. Its description in RNAcentral is "bacterial SSU rRNA". It matches the Rfam family "Bacterial small subunit ribosomal RNA", at positions 777 to 1314 of the family's 1533-position model. The record is from RNAcentral.
AAUAGAUACCCGGGUAGUCCUAGCAGUAAACGAUGGCCACUAGGUGUGGGGGGUGUUGACCCCUUCCGUGCCGUAGCUAACGCAUUAAGUGGCCCGCCUGGGGAGUACGGUCGCAAGACUAAAACUCAAAGGAAUUGACGGGGGACCCGCACAAGCAGCGGGGCGUGUGGUUUAAUUCGAUGCAACGCGAAGAACCUUACCUGGGCUUGACAUGUAGUCGCAACACGGAGAAAUCCGUGCCUCCCUCGGGACGGCUACACAGAUGUUGCAUGGCUGUCGUCAGCUCGUGUCGUGAGAUGUUGGGUUAAGUCCCGCAACGAGCGCAACCCUUGUCCUUAGUUGCAUAUCUAGGGAGACUGCCGGAAACAAACUGGAGGAAGGUGGGGAUGAUGUCAAGUCAGCAUGACUCUUACGUCCAGGGCUACACACACGCUACAAUGGAUAGUACAAAGAGAUGCCACUGAGCGAUCAGGAGCGGACCUCUAAAAGCUGUCCCCAGUUCAGAUUGCACUCUGCAACCCG